AGCUGCUUCGGAUAUGAGCUUGCAGAUGCGGGAGGGCAGCCGAGGCUGAUUUCAGGGGAGGGCUUCACAGAAGCUGGUAAAUAAACUAUAUUUUCAUCCUUAAUGACAACAGAAUUGUCUACCAUAUUUAUUUACUAUGCUAUUGCUAAAUGCCUGCCUUCUGCAGAAACUAAACCCCUUUGAGUGGAAUAGAAGGUAAAAAUGCCUCCUAAUGAAGAGGGUCACAUCCGGUGCUCUCCAACUCUAUCGUUCUUCCAUUUUACGAUCUCUAGUUUCUGGUCUUGAUUGGUGCUAUAGGGGCUUCUAACAUUCAAGUUCUGGUUUAUGGGACUCAGUGAGCUUUGACAUGUGCUACUUCUUGGUGUAAUUUUUAUGCAUCUACAUAUUGCUUGUAGCUGCUUUCAUACUGCAGUGGCAGAGGUAAGUUUUUGGAAUGGAGGUUCUAUGGCCUGCAAAGCUGAAAAUAUUUACUAUUUGGCCCUUGACAGAGAAAGUUUGCUGACCUCUGCUUUACACUAACAACAAUUCCUUGCAAAUUUAUUUUCAUCUUUGCAAAUGACAAUCGCUAGCUAGCUUUCUGUCUGUCUUCUAAAAAAAGUCAAAAGAUGGUACAGGAACAUAGUAGAUAAUCAAUUGUGUUCACUACUAGUGAAGAGGCAUUUCUUUAUCUGUAGGGACACAUUGCAUUUUGGUUACAUUUUUGGUGGUACUGUGGGCUUUGCUACUUCAGGCUUCAGGGUUAUAUAUGUGUCUCAGAGCCAGCCAUGCCUCCAGGAACUUUGCAAGGGCCUGCUUGGGGGUAGGUGUAGGCAUGUAUAGAAAUUGCUUUUAACUAACGUUUGGUUGUUUUCUGGCAAGGCUUAGAACACACGCUAAGUCUCCUAGAUGUGAUUUGAGAAUCAAAAGAGAAAAAUGCAUGUAAAGUGCUUAGUACAUUGAUUGGUACUUACUAAGUUAUCAAUAAAUGUCCAAAAAAAAUACCAAAACAAGCCUGGGUGCUGUGGCUCAUGCCUGUAAUCCCAGCACUUUGGGAGGCAUGUGGAUCACUUGAGAUCAGGAGUUUGAGACCUGUCUGGCCAAUAUGGUGAAGCUCCAUCUCUACUAAAAAUACAAAAAUCAGUUGGGUGUGGUGGCACGCACCUACAGUCCCAGCUACUUGGAAGGCUGGGGCAGAAGAAUUGCUUGAACCUAGGAGGUGGAGGUUGCAGUGAGCCGAGAUCGCGCCAUUGCACUCCAGCCUGGGCAUUGCAGCGAGACUCCAUCUCAAAAGAAAAACAAAUAAACAACAAACAAACAAAAAACAACCCAAAAAUUGCAUCUCAAAAUAAUGGCAGGCACUGUCUCAGAUUUUCACAAUGUUAGAACAUCAACAGGAAAGUCAUGUACUUAGGAAACAUUUCCAAGUGUGAAAUGAGUUUGGAUCCGUAUCACAACAUUGCCGAAAUGGUGGCUCUACAGCAGUGGGUCUCCACCAGGGCAGAUUUUGCCCCUAUUUGCAUCUGGUGGGUAAGGCCCCGGGAGCUGCCACAUCUUACAAUGUAUAGGACAGUCCCCACAGCAAACAUCACCUGGCCCAAGAUGUCAGCAGUGCUGAGGGUGAGAAGCUGCUCAAGGAGAUGGAAGGAAACAUUCUGAAAGAAAAAAUAGGAGGAUGAUAUGACUGAUCUUAAAUAUGUAGACAGCUUCCCUUGUAUUGUGCUUUCAUUCCCUUUAGACUCUUACAGGGAGUUCACUGAAUUUCCAAUGAGCCUCUUGAGGCACGGGGCUGUGGGUGCUGCUGAACAGGACAGCUGGGUAUUCUUGGCAAGCUCUAGGAGAUUCUACUAUUGUAAAUUUCUCUACAAAGGUGAUAUUGACUUAAAUUCCUCUCAUCACUGUAUGAAUGUUCAUGUUCCUUUAUACUGUCACCAACAAAAGAUAGUCUCAAUUUUUUGCCAACUGGUAGAUAGUAAAGUGCCAAUAUAUUUUUGUUUUUAUUGCAUUUUUCCUAAUUGGUCUCACUAUAUUGCCCAGCUGGUCUUGAACUCCUGGGCUCAAGCUAUCCUCUUGCCUCAGCCUCCUGAAGUGCAGGGAUUACAGAUGUGAACCACUGUGCCCAGCCUGUCUUUUUCUUAUUUACUUGUAAUGGUGCCUUAUGUAGAAUAGAUUUUAGCUCAUUGUUGGUAAUAUAUGUAGAUAGAGUGCCUUUUGCCAUUUAGAAGUUUAUGUGACCAAAUCCAUUGUUUUAUUCUAAUGAAGUUUUAUCUAUUUUGAGUAUUAUUUAUUUUGAGAGGAACUUCCCUCCUUAGCCCUGCCCCCAGGUUUGUCACUAGAGAUGGAUAGCAGCUCCAGUGGGGGCUUGAGUCCUCUCCAGUGAGGUGGGUGAGGCUGCUGGCCAGGCCUGAGCAGGGUGGACCCUUAGUUCCAGGCCUGGCCACUUGAAAGGCUUUGUUUGUCCCCAGGGCAGGCCACCUGGAGUCCAGAGUCACACUGAGUAUGUGGUUGGGGCCAAGGGCUGAACACCAAGGGCAGGGAAGGAUGGAAGGGGCAGCAAGUGCAGGCACCCUUCCCCUGGGCAUCAUAGGGUCUUGGCUCCAGAUUUGCAGAAGGCCCCAGAACCCCCAGAAUUCCAAGAAUGGGCCUGGUGGGAGGGCGACAAAGAACUUGACUCAGACGAUGAUAAAUGAAAGAUGAUGAGAACAGUCCUCUUGGCUCAAAAGCAAAAUUCACAUUUCUGAUUAUGACUUUGCAAGUACCAGCAUUUUAGUGGUUCUCAAACAAAUUCAUUUAAAGAAAUUUGUUGAGCACCUACCCUCUGCCCUGCAGAUAGCAGUGAACAAAACAGCAAUUAGAUAGACAACAGAGACUUGGAAGGGUGAGAAGUGGGACAGGGUGGAAGAUGAAAAAUUACUUAAUGGGUGCAAUGCAUGUUAUUCGGGUGCUGGCUACCCUAAAAGCCCUGGCUUGAUCACAAUGCAAUUAAUGCAUGUAACAAUUGCACUCGAACCCCAUACAUUUAUACAAAAACCCCCAGUCCUCACUGAGUCUCAGUAUCCCCCCCAGUGUGGCUGUCUGUCCCCAAAGAUCACCAACCCCGUCACUCACCC
RNAcentral lists this long non-coding RNA (3086 nucleotides) under Homo sapiens (human). RNAcentral describes it as "non-protein coding lnc-PTPRE-3:1". The record is from RNAcentral. Lineage: Eukaryota; Metazoa; Chordata; Mammalia; Primates; Hominidae.